This 257-nucleotide ribosomal RNA is filed under the name uncultured bacterium. RNAcentral describes it as "partial 16S ribosomal RNA". It matches the Rfam family "Bacterial small subunit ribosomal RNA", at positions 793 to 1055 of the family's 1533-position model. The record is from RNAcentral.
GUCCACGCCUAACUAUGAUCACUCGAUAUUGGAAGGCUCGACCCUUUCAGUGUCUAAGCUAACGCGAUAAGUGAUCCGCCUGGGUAGUACGAUCGCAAGAUUAAACUCAAAGGAAUAGACGGGACCCGCACAAGCGGUGGAGCAUCUGGUUUAAUUCGACAACAACCGUAACCUCACCAAGACUUGACAUCCCGAGAAGUUUGCCGAAAGGCGAAUGUGCCGUAAGGACUCGGUGACAGGUGCUGCAUGGUUGUCGU